This 555-nucleotide unclassified non-coding RNA is filed under the name Rhodotorula mucilaginosa. RNAcentral's name for it is "sequence contains 18S rRNA gene, ITS1, 5.8S rRNA gene, ITS2, 28S rRNA gene". The stretch from base 162 to 315 matches the Rfam family "5.8S ribosomal RNA". Lineage: Eukaryota; Fungi; Basidiomycota; Microbotryomycetes; Sporidiobolales; Sporidiobolaceae. The record is from RNAcentral.
GAUCAUUAGUGAAUAUAGGACGUCCAACUUAACUUGGAGUCCGAACUCUCACUUUCUAACCCUGUGCACUUGUUUGGGAUAGUAACUCUCGCAAGAGAGCGAACUCCUAUUCACUUAUAAACACAAAGUCUAUGAAUGUAUUAAAUUUUAUAACAAAAUAAAACUUUCAACAACGGAUCUCUUGGCUCUCGCAUCGAUGAAGAACGCAGCGAAAUGCGAUAAGUAAUGUGAAUUGCAGAAUUCAGUGAAUCAUCGAAUCUUUGAACGCACCUUGCGCUCCAUGGUAUUCCGUGGAGCAUGCCUGUUUGAGUGUCAUGAAUACUUCAACCCUCCUCUUUCUUAAUGAUUGAAGAGGUGUUUGGUUUCUGAGCGCUGCUGGCCUUUACGGUCUAGCUCGUUCGUAAUGCAUUAGCAUCCGCAAUCGAACUUCGGAUUGACUUGGCGUAAUAGACUAUUCGCUGAGGAAUUCUAGUCUUCGGAUUAGAGCCGGGUUGGGUUAAAGGAAGCUUCUAAUCAGAAUGUCUACAUUUUAAGAUUAGAUCUCAAAUCAGGUAG